Molecule: ribosomal RNA, 609 nt
Filed under: Bacillus sp. (in: firmicutes)
Lineage: Bacteria; Bacillati; Bacillota; Bacilli; Caryophanales; Bacillaceae
Description: bacterial SSU rRNA
Source: RNAcentral
AGGGGGGUUCUAUCAUGCCAAGUCGAGCGGAACAGGGAGCUUGCUCCCGGAUGUUAGGAGCAGACGGGUGAGUAGCAUGUGAGUAACCCGCCUGUAGGAGGAGGAUAACUCCGGGAAACCGCUGCUAAUACCGGAUAGUUCCUUGAAACGCAUGGUUAACGGAUGAAAUACGGUUUCGGCUGUCACUUACAGAUGGACCCGCGGCGCAUUAGCUAGUUGGUGAGGUAACGGCUCACCCAKGCSACGAUGCAUAGCCGACCUGARAGGGUGAUCGGCCACACUGGGACUGARACACUGCCCAAACUCCUACKGGAGGCAGCWGUACGGAAUCUUCCGCAAUGGACGAAACUCUGACCGAGCAACACCGCGUGAGUGAUGAAGGUUUUCAGAUCGUAAAGCUCUGUUGUUAGGGAAGAACAUAUGCAAGAGUAACUGCUUGCCCCUUGACGGUACCGAACCAUAAAGUUGGGGGAUGGUACGUGCCAACUCACCGGUUAAAGCGCUUUGGCAAUGCUUUGGCCGGAAUUAUUGGGCGUAAAGGGCUCGCAGGCGGUUUCUUAAGUCUGAUGUGAAAGCUCUCGGCUCAACCGUUGAGGGUCAUUGGAAACU